UGGGGAAUUUUGGACAAUGGGCGAAAGCCUGAUCCAGCAAUGCCGCGUGUGUGAAGAAGGCCUUCGGGUUGUAAAGCACUUUUGUCCGGAAAGAAAUCCUUGGCUCUAAUACAGUCGGGGGAUGACGGUACCGGAAGAAUAAGCACCGGCUAACUACGUGCCAGCAGCCGCGGUAAUACGUAGGGUGCAAGCGUUAAUCGGAAUUACUGGGCGUAAAGCGUGCGCAGGCGGUUUGCUAAGACCGAUGUGAAAUCCCCGGGCUCAACCUGGGAACUGCAUUGGUGACUGGCAGGCUAGAGUAUGGCAGAGGGGGGUAGAAUUCCACGUGUAGCAGUGAAAUGCGUAGAGAUGUGGAGGAAUACCGAUGGCGAAGGCAGCCCCCUGGGCCAAUACUGACGCUCAUGCACGAAAGCGUGGGGGAGCAAAACAGGAUUAGAUACCCUGGUAGUCCACGCCCUAAACGAUGUCAACUAGUUGUUGGGGAUUCAUUUCCUUAGUAACGUAGCUAACGCGUGAAGUUGACCGCCUGGGGGAGUA
This 537-nucleotide ribosomal RNA is filed under the name uncultured bacterium. RNAcentral's name for it is "partial 16S ribosomal RNA". It matches the Rfam family "Bacterial small subunit ribosomal RNA", at positions 355 to 882 of the family's 1533-position model. The record is from RNAcentral.